RNAcentral lists this unclassified non-coding RNA (4094 nucleotides) under Hevea brasiliensis (rubber tree). The record is from RNAcentral. Lineage: Eukaryota; Viridiplantae; Streptophyta; Magnoliopsida; Malpighiales; Euphorbiaceae.
AUUCUCUCCGUUCACCAUGGAAGCCAGCGCUGGUCUUGUCGCUGGCUCUCACAACCGCAAUGAGCUCGUCGUCAUUCAUGGCCAUGAAGAGCCCAAGCCUUUGAAGAACUUGGAUGGUCAAGUUUGUGAGAUAUGUGGGGAUCAAAUUGGCUUAACGGUGGAUGGAGAUCUGUUUGUGGCUUGCAAUGAGUGUGGUUUUCCAGUUUGUAGGCCUUGCUAUGAGUAUGAAAGAAGAGAAGGAACUCAAGUUUGUCCUCAGUGCAAAACAAGAUACAAGCGUCUCAAGGGCAGCGCCAGGGUUGCAGGAGACGAUGAUGAAGAGGACGUGGAUGAUAUUGAACAUGAGUUCAAUAUUGAAGAUGAGCAAGAAAAGAACAAGCAUCUCACAGAGGCUAUGCUUCAUGGGAAGAUGGCCUAUGGAAGAGGCCAUGACGAUGAGGAAAAUAGCCAAUUCCCACCAGUUAUAGCCGCUGGAGUCAGAUCAAGACCAGUGAGUGGAGAGUUUCCUAUGGGAUCUUAUGGAGAUCAGAUGUUGGCUUCUUCACUUCAUAAACGAGUGCAUCCGUAUCCAGUUUCUGAGCCUGGAAGUGCAAGAUGGGAUGAGAAGAAGGAGGGAGGGUGGAAAGAGAGGAUGGAUGACUGGAAAAUGCAGCAAGGCAAUCUGGGACCUGAACCUGAUGAUGAUCCUGACGCAGUCAUGGUAGAUGAGACAAGGCAGCCACUUUCGAGGAAAGUACCAAUUGCAUCUAGCAAGAUCAACCCUUACAGAAUGAUUAUUGUGGCCCGGCUUGUCAUAUUGGCCUUGUUUCUUCGGUAUAGAAUAUUGAACCCAGUGCAUGAUGCAAUUGGGCUCUGGCUAACAUCUAUCAUCUGUGAAAUCUGGUUUGCGUUUUCAUGGAUCCUUGAUCAGUUCCCCAAGUGGCUUCCAAUUGAUCGCGAGACCUAUCUUGAUCGCCUCUCUAUCAGGUAUGAGAGGGAAGGUGAGCCUAAUAUGCUAGCUCCAGUGGAUUUCUUUGUGAGUACUGUGGAUCCUAUGAAGGAACCUCCUCUUGUGACUGCAAACACAAUAUUGUCAAUAUUGGCCGUGGACUACCCAGUAGAAAAGAUCUCAUGUUACUUGUCAGAUGAUGGUGCUUCCAUGUGCACCUUUGAAGCCUUAUCUGAAACUGCUGAAUUUGCUCGAAAAUGGGUACCAUUUUGCAAGAAAUUUAACAUAGAGCCUCGAGCCCCUGAGAUGUACUUUGCUUUAAAGGUGGAUUAUCUUAAGGACAAGGUUCAGCCUACCUUCGUUAAAGAACGAAGAGCUAUGAAGAGAGAAUAUGAAGAAUUCAAGGUUAGAAUAAAUGCAAUUGUAGCAAAAGCACAAAAGGUUCCUCCAGAGGGAUGGAUAAUGCAAGAUGGGACUCCAUGGCCUGGAAACAAUACUAGAGAUCACCCUGGAAUGAUUCAAGUGUUUCUGGGUCACAGUGGAGGUCAUGAUGUUGAAGGAAAUGAGCUCCCUCGACUCGUUUAUGUGUCUCGUGAGAAGAGGCCUGGUUUUGCACAUCACAAGAAAGCUGGCGCCAUGAAUGCCCUGAUUCGUGUCUCUGCAGUACUUACCAAUGCUCCUUUCAUGCUGAACUUGGAUUGUGAUCACUAUGUCAAUAACAGCAAGGCCGUUAGGGAAUCCAUGUGUUUCUUGAUGGAUCCUCAGACAGGGAAGAAAAUUUGCUAUGUACAAUUCCCUCAAAGAUUCGAUGGUAUUGACAGACACGAUCGAUAUGCAAACAGAAACACAGUCUUCUUUGAUAUUAACAUGAAAGGUCUAGAUGGAAUUCAGGGUCCUGUGUAUGUCGGGACAGGAUGUGUUUUUAGAAGACAAGCCUUGUAUGGUUAUGAACCUCCCAAGGGUCCUAAGCGCCCAAAGAUGGUUAGCUGUGACUGUUGCCCAUGUUUCGGACGCCGUAAAAAGAAGCAAUCUAAGAAAGGUGUCAAUGGAGAAGCUAUAAAUCUUGAAGGAAUGGAUGAUGACAAGCAACUUUUGAUGUCCCAGAUGAAUUUUGAGAAGAGAUUUGGACAGUCAGCAAUUUUUGUGACUUCAACUUUAAUGGAAGAAGGUGGUGUCCCUCCUUCCUCAAGUCCUGCAGCUUUGCUUAAAGAAGCAAUUCAUGUGAUUAGCUGUGGCUAUGAGGACAAAACCGACUGGGGAACUGAGCUUGGCUGGAUUUAUGGUUCAAUUACAGAGGAUAUCCUUACAGGUUUCAAGAUGCAUUGUCGCGGCUGGAGGUCCAUCUACUGCAUGCCUAAGAGACCUGCAUUUAAAGGUUCAGCACCCAUCAAUCUAUCUGAUCGGCUCAACCAAGUGCUUCGGUGGGCUCUUGGUUCAGUUGAGAUCUUCUUUAGUCGUCACAGCCCUGUCUGGUAUGGCUACAAGGAAGGACAGCUCAAGUGGCUUGAGAGAUUCGCAUAUGUCAACACAACCGUCUAUCCCUUCACCUCUUUGCCACUUCUUGCAUAUUGUACCUUGCCUGCCAUCUGCUUGUUGACAGAUAAAUUCAUCAUGCCAGAGGUAAUGAUAUAAUUGAUUUUUCUCCAAUGAAUCAUGAAAGACUAACAAAUAACACAUGCAUAGCUUUGAGAAGGCACAAAAGUUAAACAUGGAUUUUAUCAUCAGCCUAAAUUACUUAAAUUCAAGCCAACACGACACACGAGAUUCAUAAGAAACUCGAUGAAGAUUUAAGUAAAUAUGUUUCCAAAUUCCUUGUUAGCAUAAGCAUAGCAUGAACUGGUUUGUUUCUAAGACAAUAUUUAACAUAUUUCUGAUUUUAUUACAAUACAGAUAAGCACCUUUGCAAGUCUUUUCUUCAUUGCUUUGUUCAUAUCAAUAUUUGCAACUGGUAUUCUUGAGCUAAGAUGGAGUGGGGUGAGCAUUGAAGAAUGGUGGAGAAAUGAGCAAUUCUGGGUCAUUGGUGGAAUAUCAGCCCAUCUCUUUGCUGUUGUGCAAGGUCUUCUGAAGGUUUUAGCCGGUAUUGACACAAACUUCACAGUUACAUCCAAGGCAACUGACGAUGAAGAGUUUGGAGAACUAUACACUUUUAAAUGGACAACGCUCCUGAUACCUCCAACUACCAUCCUAAUCAUCAACCUUGUUGGCGUUGUUGCUGGAGUUUCAGAUGCCAUAAACAAUGGAUACCAAUCAUGGGGGCCAUUAUUUGGCAAGCUCUUCUUUGCCUUCUGGGUGAUUGUCCAUCUCUACCCAUUCCUGAAAGGUCUGAUGGGACGGCAAAAUAGGACACCAACCAUUGUUGUUAUCUGGUCUGUUCUCUUGGCUUCAAUCUUCUCCUUGCUUUGGGUUCGAAUAGACCCAUUUGUCAUGAAAACCAAGGGUCCUGACACCAAAAAAUGUGGAAUCAACUGCUAAGAAGUUCGUUUUAUAUGUGCAUCUCUGGAAGAUAUACGUACAUUCUCGCUUUUACAAGUAUAUCAAAUAUGAUGCAUGAGUUAACAAAAUGCAAUCACAAGAAAUAAAACUAGAGUGAAAAUUUUUGUGCAACAUUUUGCAAUGUACCAAGUUUUGUAACUGAAGUGAGAUUUGAUUCUUAUGUUGUUUUUUUACACCAACUUCCCCAAGGAUUGCAGAAUAAUUCCAAGUUACCACCCUCUAAUUGGGAAAUAAAAUAUAAUUUCUAAAGAAUAAGAAAUGGGAAAGAAGAUCCCAUAUAAAAGUCUUUCAAUAGUUCAAUCAAUGUGAAAGGCAAUCUUCCGAAGUAUACUAGAUGAUGCUUCAAGGAGAAGGUUUUAUUUUGUUUUUACCUUGAGUUUGUUUUCUAAAGGAUAGGCAUUCUACAGUAUUGUCCUCAGUUGCAAAGUAGAGCUCCUAUGCUUAUCACUGAAUACAAUGAGACUUGGCUCCAUAAACAAGCAAAUGGUUCACUCAUCAAAAUCUUAAAGAAAGAGUUACCCUUUUAACCUAUCAAUUGCGAGAUAGUAAUUAGUUCCAGAACCACCUAAGAAACAAUUGCAUUAUGGCAUGACCAAUGUGCAGUCCUAAUAGUGAUAGAACAAACAAAUAGCUCAAUAACAACAACAAUCACAACUAAACCUUAAUUCCAAAC